Molecule: ribosomal RNA, 450 nt
Filed under: uncultured bacterium
Lineage: Bacteria
Description: bacterial SSU rRNA
Rfam family: Bacterial small subunit ribosomal RNA
Source: RNAcentral
GUGGGGAAUUUUGGACAAUGGGGGCAACCCUGAUCCAGCCAUGCCGCGUGCGGGAAGAAGGCCUUCGGGUUGUAAACCGCUUUUGUCAGGGAAGAAAUCCUUUGGGUUAAUACCUCGGAGGGAUGACGGUACCUGAAGAAUAAGCACCGGCUAACUACGUGCCAGCAGCCGCGGUAAUACGUAGGGUGCGAGCGUUAAUCGGAAUUACUGGGCGUAAAGCGUGCGCAGGCGGUUUUGUAAGAUCGAUGUGAAAUCCCCGGGCUCAACCUGGGAACUGCAUUGGUGACUGCAAGGCUGGAGUGCGGCAGAGGGGGAUGGAAUUCCGCGUGUAGCAGUGAAAUGCGUAGAUAUGCGGAGGAACACCGAUGGCGAAGGCAAUCCCCUGGGCCUGCACUGACGCUCAUGCACGAAAGCGUGGGGAGCAAACAGGAUUAGAUACCCCUGUAGUCC